ACUGCAUUCAUUUGGUUAACUCCAUUACAUUCCUGACAUGCCUGUAGAUGAAAAGGUGUCAGAAGGUAAAUCAUUCACUGCAGGAUGUCCUGUAUCUCAGAACACAUCCUACACAGUCAAGGCAGCAGAAAGGGUGGAAGCUUCGAGCUCCUGGACAUCCACAUCUCACAGGAUCUAUUCUGGGUCAAGCAUAUUGAUGCAAUCAUGCCAAUGACAAAACUUCAUUCUGAAUUUGAGGAGAUUUGGCAUGGAAUGGUCCACUUGCUCAGAGCUGAGAUUGGAGUUGAAGAUUGUGCAAUCAAUGGUGAACAUCUCCGUUUGUGGUCGUAUGUAUAACAAGAUGAGGUGAUUGAUGAAGCAAGUGAAGGUGGUUUGGCUCAGGAACACUGCCUUGAGGAACUCCUUCUAGGGGCUGGGUUACUUGGUUUCCAAUGAUUGUCAUCAUCUUCCUUUUUUCAAGGCAUUCCCAGGAUAAAAAAAGAAAUGCAACAGAACUCUACGAAAAAACUACACAUAAACAAAGGCUGACAAACAACCAACGUGCAAAAGACAAACUGUGCAAGUAAAAACAUAAUCCUGAGAACGUGAGUUUUUUUAUCACGAGCUUGAGAAUUUUAAAAUCAAUCUAUCACCUACCCAGGUAUGGGAAACAAGAGAAAAUAAGGAGGCAGGCACAUUGGGGGAAAAAGUGUUAAAAUAAGAGGUUGAAGUGCAGAGGCAGUGUGAGAUGAAGUGAGAGUGAAAAUCUCGGGGGGGGGGAGGUGUGUGUGUGUGUGUGUGUGUGUGAGACAGAGCACAGAUUUGACGACGACACAAAGAUGGAUAGACACUGUAGCUGUGUAGAUGGAAGCAAUUAAUUGGAAAGAGGUAAUAGUUGCAUAAAUAGCUGUAUUUCUAAGUUGGGAAGUAUGAAAUCAUACUCUGAACAGAAAAAGAGUGGAACAAAGCAAAUUCUAGAUGAACAGAGCCUAUUGCACAUGAAUCAGUAAAAUGUCUUGGAAAAGAUAAAGAUUAAAUGUAAUAAAGAUUAACUUUAUUUGUCAAACGUACAUCAAAACAUACAGUUAAAUCUGUCAUUUGCAUCAGCAACCAACACAGUCUGAGAAAUUGCUGGGGCACCACACAUCUGGCACUAACAUAGCGUGCCCACAAUUUACUAACUAACCCCAAUACACACGUCUUCAAAAUGUGGGAGAAAGUCAGAGGAAACCCACAUGGACACAUGAAAAACAUACAGACUCCUCACAGACAGCAGCGGGAAUUGCUGGCACUGAAACAGAAUCAAAGUAACCGCCACACUACUGAACCAUACUAUGUAAGGAACAGAACAUAGUCCAAAUUCUUGACAAAUAGAUGCCCUUAUAUCUAGAGUAUGUAAGAGAUAGGUUAGAUAAUGCAUGAACCACACCAUAGAAAGUAUAACUAUUCUUGGUCGAACAGCAAUAUUAGAAAGAUAGCUGAAUACCAAGGAUUAAAUUGUAAUGAGGGAAUAUACCCAGUGGCCACUGAGUGCACGUUUGUGGUCUUCUGCUGUUUCAAGGUUUGACAUGCUGUGCAUUCAGAGAAGCUCUUCUGCACACCACUGUUGUAACGUGUGGUUAUUUGAGUUACUGUCACCUUCCUGUCUGCUUGUACCAGUCUGGCCAUUCUCCUCUGACCUCUCUCAUUAACAAGGUGUUUUCACCCACAGAAAUACUGCUCACUGGAUGUUUUUUUUUUGUUUUUCACACCAUUCUCUGUAAACUCUAUAGACUGCUGUGUGUGAAAAUACCAGGAGAUCAGCAGUUUCUGAGAUACUCAAACCAUCCCAUCUGGCACCAACAAUCAUUCCACGGUCAAAGUCACUUAGAUCACAUUUCUUCCCCAUUCUGAUGUUUGGUCUGAAUAACAACUGAGCCUCUUGACCAUGUCUGCAUGCUUUUAUGCAUUGAGUUGCUGCCACAUGAUUGGCUGAUUAGAUAUUUGCAUUAAAGAACAGGUGUACAGGUGUACCUAAUAAAGUGGCCACUGAGUGUAUAUACACUAGAACACAAAGGCAGAGUACUGAGAAUACUGGCAGAUCCAAAUAAAAAGAAACAGCGAUAUUCUUUUGGCCAGGUGGCAUCAUUAGAGAACACUUCAGGUCAAUGAUUUUGUUUUGAAGAAACAUCAUUGUCCCUAACUUGCUCUCUCUGUCUAUCUGUCUGUGUGUGUCUCUCUCUAUUAAUCUACUUAGAGAUAUAGAACGGUAACAGGUCCCUCUGAUCUAAUGAGCGCACACCAACCAAUUACACCCAUGCGACUAAUUAUCUUACUAACCAGUAUGUCUUUAGACUGUGGGAGGAAAUUGGAGCACCUGGAGGAAACACACACUGGCAUGGGGAGAAUGUACAAACUCCUUACAGACACUUGUACUAUAAUAGUGUUAUGCUAACUGCUACGCUACCUUGUCACCCUGUAUAUUCUCUUCUGAAUACUUUUAGCCAUUCCACAAAAUUUAGUCAAGUUUUGAAAUUAUUAGGGAUAGACAGGGUGAAUAUAUUCCUGUUGUUUGGAGCAUUGUCUAAAUAUUAAAACCAGGGUUAUCAGAAGUGCAGUUAAGAAACCCUUAUGGACAGAGGAGAUUUAAAAAUUGUUAAUUUUAAUGCUGAGAUUAACAGUCCUAUUACCUCAGAUUUUAAGGGAUAUGGAAGAAAGGUCCCAUGUGGAGAUUGGUCACAGGUCAGCCAUGAUCUCAUUGAAUGGUAGAACAGGCUUGAGGGACUAAGUGGCCUCAUCCUUCUCUUUUGUUCCAAAUAAAUUGCACAGCAGUACUUAUCUAAAAAUGCAGACUGCAAGACAGGUUUUUCUGAAGUGUUACCAGAUAUCAUAUGAUGCUUUAUUAAAGCACACUAUUUAAAGCUUCCAAACUCAACUGUCACAGUGGGCUGCAGUUGAGAUGGGGAGGGGUUUUGCAAAUAUUUAUUCACCCAGUAGUUGUCAGUGGUCUGGAAGUUACAGCUAUAAAGGACAGUGGAAGCAAAGACUCACAUUGUCAUUAAAAACUACCUCUGUAACAAUGAUAUUUUAACCUAGAGACCGAUAGACCACAAGCUGGAGGGGCCAAUUCAAGUCAAAAAGGACAUGAUGGGCUGAAUAGUUUCUUUCUGUGCCUCAGCAUUCUUUGACUCUUUGAGACCCAGAUGGGUGGUUGUUUGUGUGUAGUGUUUCAUUGAUUCUAUUUUAUUUCUUUAUUCUACUGUAAAUGCCAACAAAAAUAUAAAUUUCAGGGCAGUAAAUGGUGUCAUAUACAUACUUUUACUUUGGACUUUAUUUCCUGAACAACCUGGAGCUUAUAGAUUGUAGAGGUAAGUAAGGAGAAGAAUCGAGAUGGUGAUGCUAGCUUUGAAGUGAUUCGCUGUUGUUAAUUUCUGAUCACCCCAACUACGUAACAAAUGCAGAGGCUCAC
Long non-coding RNA from Hypanus sabinus (Atlantic stingray), 3427 nucleotides. RefSeq lists it as uncharacterized. The transcript is spliced from 3 exons. NCBI's taxonomy places the organism in Eukaryota, Metazoa, Chordata, Chondrichthyes, Myliobatiformes, Dasyatidae. The record is from RefSeq and is a predicted model, not a curated record.